Molecule: ribosomal RNA, 253 nt
Filed under: uncultured bacterium
Lineage: Bacteria
Description: partial 16S ribosomal RNA
Rfam family: Bacterial small subunit ribosomal RNA
Source: RNAcentral
UACGUAGGCAGCGAGCGUUGUUCGGAAUUAUUGGGCGUAAAGAGUGCGUAGGCGGUGCUCUAAGUUUGGUGUGAAAUCUCCCGGCUUAACUGGGAGGGUGCGCCGAAGACUGGAGUGCUUGAGUGUGGGAGAGGAAAGCGGAAUUCCUGGUGUAGCGGUGAAAUGCGUAGAUAUCAGGAGGAACACCUGCGGUGUAGACGGCUUUCUGGACCGCGACUGACGCUGAGGCACGAAAGCGUGGGUAGCAAACAGG